CGCGGCCUAUCAGCUUGUUGGUGAGGUAACGGCUCACCAAGGCUACGACGGGUAGCUGGCCUGAGAGGACGAUCAGCCACACUGGGACUGAGACACGGCCCAGACUCCUACGGGAGGCAGCAGCAGGGAAUAUUGCACAAUGGGCGAAAGCCUGAUGCAGCGACGCCGCGUGAGGGAUGAAGGCCUUCGGGUUGUAAACCUCUUUCAGGAGGGAAGAAGCGAAAGUGACGGUACCUCCACAAGAAGCCCCGGCCAACUACGUGCCAGCAGCCGCGGUAAUACGUAGGGGGCGAGCGUUGUCCGGAUUCAUUGGGCGUAAAGAGCUCGUAGGCGGCUCAGCAAGUCGGUCGUGAAAGCCCGAGGCUCAACCUCGGGACGCCGAUCGAAACUGCUGUGGCUAGGGUCCGGUAGAGGAGAGUGGAAUUCCCGGUGUAGCGGUGAAAUGCGCAGAUAUCGGGAGGUACACCAGUAGCGAAGGCGGCUCUCUGGGCCGGCACCGACGCUGAGGAGCGAAAGCUAGGGGAGCAAACAGGAUUAGAUACCCUGGUAGUCCUAGCCGUAAACGUUGGGCACUAGGUGUGGCGGACUCAUUGACGUCUGCCGUGCCGUAGCUAACGCAUUAAGUGCCCCGCCUGGGGAGUACGG
RNAcentral lists this ribosomal RNA (645 nucleotides) under uncultured Actinomycetes bacterium. RNAcentral describes it as "bacterial SSU rRNA". It matches the Rfam family "Bacterial small subunit ribosomal RNA", at positions 232 to 885 of the family's 1533-position model. The record is from RNAcentral. Lineage: Bacteria; Bacillati; Actinomycetota; Actinomycetes.